RNAcentral lists this long non-coding RNA (590 nucleotides) under Salmo salar (Atlantic salmon). Its description in RNAcentral is "lncRNA (ENSSSAG00000091737.1)". Lineage: Eukaryota; Metazoa; Chordata; Actinopteri; Salmoniformes; Salmonidae. The record is from RNAcentral.
GUAGAGAGGAGAGGGUGUUAUGUAGAGAGGAGAGGGAGUUAUAUAGAGAGAGGAGAGGGUGUUAUAUAGAGAGAGGAGAGGGUGUUAUAUAGAGAGAGGAGAGGGUGUUAUAUAGAGAGAGGAGAUGGUGUUAUAUAGAGAGAGGAGAGGGAGUUAUAUAGAGAAAGGAGAGGGUGUUAUAUAGAGAGGAGGUAGAGAGGAGAGGGAGGUAUGUAGAGAGGAGAGGGUGUUGUAUAGAGAGAGGAGAGGGUGUUAUAUAGAGAGAAGGAGGUGGAGAGGGAGUUAUAUAGAGAGAGGAGAGGGUGUUAUAUAGAGAGAGGAGAGGGUGUUAUAUAGAGAGAGGAGAGGGUGUUAUAUAGAGAGAGGAGAGGGUGUUAUAUAGAGAGAGGAUAGGGUGUUAUAUAGAGAGAGGGAGGUAGAGAGGAGAGGGAGAUAUAUAGAGAGAAGCAGGUGGAGAGAGAGUUAUAUAGAGAGAGGAGAGGGUGUUAUGUAGAGAGAGGAGAGGGUGUUAUGUAGAGAGGAGAGGGAGUUAUAUAGAGAGAGGAGAGGGUGUUAUAUAGAGAGAGGAGAGGGUGUUAUAUAGAGAGAGG